This 497-nucleotide ribosomal RNA is filed under the name uncultured bacterium. Its description in RNAcentral is "partial 16S ribosomal RNA". It matches the Rfam family "Bacterial small subunit ribosomal RNA", at positions 28 to 507 of the family's 1533-position model. The record is from RNAcentral.
GACGAACGCUGGCGGCGUGCCUAAUACAUGCAAGUUGAGCGCUGAAGGUUGGUACUUGUACCGACUGGAUGAGCAGCGAACGGGUGAGUAACGCGUGGGGAAUCUGCCUUUGAGCGGGGGACAACAUUUGGAAACGAAUGCUAAUACCGCAUAAAAACUUUAAACACAAGUUUUAAGUUUGAAAGAUGCAGUUGCAUCACUCAAAGAUGAUCCCGCGUUGUAUUAGCUAGUUGGUGAGGUAAAGGCUCACCAAGGCGAUGAUACAUAGCCGACCUGAGAGGGUGAUCGGCCACAUUGGGACUGAGACACGGCACAAACUCCUACGGGAGGCAGCAGUAGGGAAUCUUCGGCAAUGGACGAAAGUUUGACCGAGCAACGCCGCGUGAGUGAAGAAGGUUUUCGGAUCGUAAAACUCUGUUGGUAGAGAAGAACGUUGGUGAGAGUGGAAAGCUCAUCAAGUGACGGUAACUACCCAGAAAGGGACGGCUAACUACGUG